Molecule: ribosomal RNA, 1471 nt
Filed under: metagenome
Description: bacterial LSU rRNA
Rfam family: Bacterial large subunit ribosomal RNA
Source: RNAcentral
UGUGGGGACGGAGAAGGUUAGGUCAGCCGGGCGUUGGACGUCCCGGUUUAAGCGUGUAGGCGUGCCCCUUAGGCAAAUCCGGGGGGCUGAGCUGAGGCGUGAUGACGAGGAACCACGGUUCCGAAGUGAUUGAUACCAAGCUUCCAGGAAAAGCCACUAAGCUUCAGUCUAGAGUUGACCGUACCGCAAACCGACACAGGUGGGCAGGAUGAAAAUUCUAAGGCGCUUGAGAGAACUCAGGAGAAGGAACUCGGCAAAUUAACACCGUAACUUCGGGAGAAGGUGUGCCCCGGUAGCGUGUAGAGACUUGCUCUCGAAGCGCGAUGGGGUUGCAGUGAAAUGGUGGCUGCGACUGUUUAAUAAAAACACAGCACUCCGCAAACACGAAAGUGGACGUAUAGGGUGUGACGCCUGCCCGGUGCCGGAAGGUUAAGUGAUGGGGUGCAAGCUCUUGAUCGAAGCCCCGGUAAACGGCGGCCGUAACAAUAACGGUCCUAAGGUAGCGAAAUUCCUUGUCGGGUAAGUUCCGACCUGCACGAAUGGCGUAACGAUGGCCACACUGUCUCCUCCUGGGACUCAGCGAAGUUGAAAUGUUUGUGAAGAUGCAAUCUACCCGCGGCUAGACGGAAAGACCCCAUGAACCUUUACUGUAGCUUUGCAUUGGACUUUGAACCGGUUUGUGUAGGAUAGGUGGGAGACUGUGAAGCCGGGACGCUAGUUUCGGUGGAGUCAACCUUGAAAUACCACCCUGAUUUGUUUGAGGUUCUAACCUUGGUCCGUGAAUCCGGAUCGGGGACCGUGCAUGGUAGGCAGUUUGACUGGGGCGGUCUCCUCCCAAAAGGUAACGGAGGAGUACGAAGGUACGCUUAGGGCGGUCGGACAUCGCCCACAAAGUGCAAUGGCAAAAGCGUGCUUGACUGCGAGACCCACAAGUCGAGCAGGUACGAAAGUAGGUCAUAGUGAUCCGGUGGUUCUGUAUGGAAGGGCCAUCGCUCAACGGAUAAAAGGUACUCUGGGGAUAACAGGCUAAUUCCUCCCAAGAGUUCAUAUCGACGGGGGAGUUUGGCACCUCGAUGUCGGCUCAUCACAUCCUGGGGCUGUAGUCGGUCCCAAGGGUAUGGCUGUCCGCCAUUUAAAGUGGUACGCGAGCUGGGUUUAAAACGUCGUGAGGCAGUUUGGUCCCUAUCUGCCGUGGGCGCUGGAAAUUUGAAGGGGGCUGCUCCUAGUACGAGAGGACCGGAGUGGACGAACCUCUGGUGUACCGGUUAUGACGCCAGUCGUAUCGCCGGGUAGCUAAGUUCGGAAGAGAUAAACGCUGAAAGCAUCUAAGCGUGAGACUCGCCUUAAGAUAAGAUUUCCCGGAGUCUUGAACUCCCUGAAGGGUCGUCGAAGACCACGACGUUGAUAGGUCAGGUGUGGAAGCGCAGCAAUGCGUCAAGCUAACUGAUACUAAUUGCCCGUGCGGCUUGAC